Long non-coding RNA from Cygnus olor (mute swan), 919 nucleotides. RefSeq lists it as uncharacterized. The record is from RefSeq and is a predicted model, not a curated record. The transcript has 2 exons. NCBI's taxonomy places the organism in Eukaryota, Metazoa, Chordata, Aves, Anseriformes, Anatidae.
AGGCUGCCCGUGGCUGUGAGUGGGUGCUUUCUUCUGCAGCUGAACAGCUGCACUGCAGUAAAGUCACUGCUCACAGCCUGUCCCACCUUCUGGUCCCUGCCUCUCUGCUGGAGCUUCUGAUCCGACAACAGAGGAAGAAGACAGCUGCUUGUUGUUAUGUCUGAUACUUUCUGAAUCACUGGUAACGGUGUUAAGAGGAGAAGCCCCAUCCCAUAAGAGCCAAACUUCUGCACCUCCCUCUGAAGCAGGGGUUAUGGACUGCACCUCGAGACUGACCAAAGCCUGAGGUUCUUGCCCCAAACGAUCGAAGUUGGGGACGUCCGUGGUCUGUGUGCCAGUGGCUGCUGUUUUGCUCCCGAAUCGAGGUCGUCUUCCAAGCAGCGUUGCCACCAUUCACCGUGUCGCUGGUAUCCAUCAGUGUUGUUUUGUCGUGGUUGUGCUGCGAAAUAGAUAAUGCCUUUUAGAAACAGAAAAGCUUCUGUAAACUGCCUUCGAGCUGUUACUUAUUUCACACAUGUCUGGGAAGGAGAACAAAGAGCUAAGUCCAGUGCAGAGCAGCCCACAUAAGAGUCAUUUAUUUGUGUUUUGUGCCAAAGUAGCGCUGUGUUAGGUGGGGAUGAGGUGGCAAUAUGCAAGUCAGUGCACACAAACAUAGUGUUGCUAAGUUUGACCGUAAUGCCUUAGGAAAAUUAAUUUGCUGUACAGCCCCUGUGUAAAAAUUAUUAUAGUUGUUGCAAUAGCAAACGCAGUUGUUAAGGCAGAGGUCUAAUCCCCACUCUAAUAACUUUUGCUAAUAACUUUCUCAAACUUUUUGCUCUGAAAUUUUCCAUGCUUCUUGUUAGCCCUAAGGUGAAUUUUUUGGAAAGUCAGAGAGGAUUUUGAAUUAUGAGAGCACGAAUAAAGUACAUUUUCCUCCUUG